UAAGGAAUAUUGGUCAAUGGACGCAAGUCUGAACCAGCCAUGCCGCGUGAAGGAUGAAGGUCCUCUGGAUUGUAAACUUCUUUUAUCUGGGACGAAAACGGGAUUUUUAUCCCAAUUGACGGUACCAGAGGAAUAAGCACCGGCUAACUCCGUGCCAGCAGCCGCGGUAAUACGGAGGGUGCGAGCGCUAUCCGGAUUUACUGGGUUUAAAGGGUGCGUAGGUGGGCUUAUAAGUCAGUGGUGAAAUCUCCGAGCUUAACUUGGAAACUGCCGUUGAUACUAUAGGUCUUGAAUUAUCUGGAGGUAAGCGGAAUAUGUCAUGUAGCGGUGAAAUGCUUAGAUAUGACAUAGAACACCAAUUGCGAAGGCAGCUUACUACAUAUAAAUUGACGCUGAGGCACGAAAGCGUGGGGAUCAAACA
RNAcentral lists this ribosomal RNA (421 nucleotides) under uncultured bacterium. RNAcentral describes it as "bacterial SSU rRNA". It matches the Rfam family "Bacterial small subunit ribosomal RNA", at positions 355 to 774 of the family's 1533-position model. The record is from RNAcentral.